RNAcentral lists this ribosomal RNA (467 nucleotides) under uncultured bacterium. RNAcentral's name for it is "partial 16S ribosomal RNA". It matches the Rfam family "Bacterial small subunit ribosomal RNA", at positions 29 to 507 of the family's 1533-position model. The record is from RNAcentral.
ACGAACGCUGGCGGCGUGCUUAACACAUGCAAGUCGAACGGUGAUGCUCCAGCUUGCUGGAGUGGAUCAGUGGCGAACGGGUGAGUAACACGUGAGCAACCUGCCCCAGACUCUGGAAUAAGCGCUGGAAACGGCGUCUAAUACUGGAUACGAAACUGGCCCGCAUGGGCAUGGUUUGGAAAGUUUUUCGGUUUGGGAUGGGCUCGCGGCCUAUCAGCUUGUUGGUGAGGUAAUGGCUCACCAAGGCGACGACGGGUAGCCGGCCUGAGAGGGCGACCGGCCACACUGGGACUGAGACACGGCCCAGACUCCUACGGGAGGCAGCAGUGGGGAAUAUUGCACAAUGGGCGAAAGCCUGAUGCAGCGACGCCGCGUGAGGGAUGACGGCCUUCGGGUUGUAAACCUCUUUCAGCAGGGGAGAAGCGAAAGUGACGGUACCUGCAGAAGAAGCACCGGCUAACUACGUG